UUAAGCGACUAAGCGUACACGGUGGAUGCCCUGGCAGUCAGAGGCGAUGAAGGACGUGCUAAUCUGCGAUAAGCGUCGGUAAGGUGAUAUGAACCGUUAUAACCGGCGAUUUCCGAAUGGGGAAACCCAGUGUGUUUCGACACACUAUCAUUAACUGAAUCCAUAGGUUAAUGAGGCGAACCGGGGGAACUGAAACAUCUAAGUACCCCGAGGAAAAGAAAUCAACCGAGAUUCCCCCAGUAGCGGCGAGCGAACGGGGAGGAGCCCAGAGCCUGAAUCAGUGUGUGUGUUAGUGGAAGCGUCUGGAAAGGCGCGCGAUACAGGGUGACAGCCCCGUACACAAAAAUGCACAUGCUGUGAGCUCGAUGAGUAGGGCGGGACACGUGGUAUCCUGUCUGAAUAUGGGGGGACCAUCCUCCAAGGCUAAAUACUCCUGACUGACCGAUAGUGAACCAGUACCGUGAGGGAAAGGCGAAAAGAACCCCGGCGAGGGGAGUGAAAAAGAACCUGAAACCGUGUACGUACAAGCAGUGGGAGCACGCUUAGGCGUGUGACUGCGUACCUUUUGUAUAAUGGGUCAGCGACUUAUAUUCUGUAGCAAGGUUAACCGAAUAGGGGAGCCGAAGGGAAACCGAGUCUUAACUGGGCGUUAAGUUGCAGGGUAUAGACCCGAAACCCGGUGAUCUAGCCAUGGGCAGGUUGAAGGUUGGGUAACACUAACUGGAGGACCGAACCGACUAAUGUUGAAAAAUUAGCGGAUGACUUGUGGCUGGGGGUGAAAGGCCAAUCAAACCGGGAGAUAGCUGGUUCUCCCCGAAAGCUAUUUAGGUAGCGCCUCGUGAACUCAUCUCCGGGGGUAGAGCACUGUUUCGGCAAGGGGGUCAUCCCGACUUACCAACCCGAUGCAAACUGCGAAUACCGGAGAAUGUUAUCACGGGAGACACACGGCGGGUGCUAACGUCCGUCGUGAAGAGGGAAACAACCCAGACCGCCAGCUAAGGUCCCAAAGUCAUGGUUAAGUGGGAAACGAUGUGGGAAGGCCCAGACAGCCAGGAUGUUGGCUUAGAAGCAGCCAUCAUUUAAAGAAAGCGUAAUAGCUCACUGGUCGAGUCGGCCUGCGCGGAAGAUGUAACGGGGCUAAACCAUGCACCGAAGCUGCGGCAGCGACGCUUAUGCGUUGUUGGGUAGGGGAGCGUUCUGUAAGCCUGUGAAGGUGUGCUGUGAGGCAUGCUGGAGGUAUCAGAAGUGCGAAUGCUGACAUAAGUAACGAUAAAGCGGGUGAAAAGCCCGCUCGCCGGAAGACCAAGGGUUCCUGUCCAACGUUAAUCGGGGCAGGGUGAGUCGACCCCUAAGGCGAGGCCGAAAGGCGUAGUCGAUGGGAAACAGGUUAAUAUUCCUGUACUUGGUGUUACUGCGAAGGGGGGACGGAGAAGGCUAUGUUGGCCGGGCGACGGUUGUCCCGGUUUAAGCGUGUAGGCUGGUUUUCCAGGCAAAUCCGGAAAAUCAAGGCUGAGGCGUGAUGACGAGGCACUACGGUGCUGAAGCAACAAAUGCCCUGCUUCCAGGAAAAGCCUCUAAGCAUCAGGUAACAUCAAAUCGUACCCCAAACCGACACAGGUGGUCAGGUAGAGAAUACCAAGGCGCUUGAGAGAACUCGGGUGAAGGAACUAGGCAAAAUGGUGCCGUAACUUCGGGAGAAGGCACGCUGAUAUGUAGGUGAAGUCCCUCGCGGAUGGAGCUGAAAUCAGUCGAAGAUACCAGCUGGCUGCAACUGUUUAUUAAAAACACAGCACUGUGCAAACACGAAAGUGGACGUAUACGGUGUGACGCCUGCCCGGUGCCGGAAGGUUAAUUGAUGGGGUCAGCGCAAGCGAAGCUCUUGAUCGAAGCCCCGGUAAACGGCGGCCGUAACUAUAACGGUCCUAAGGUAGCGAAAUUCCUUGUCGGGUAAGUUCCGACCUGCACGAAUGGCGUAAUGAUGGCCAGGCUGUCUCCACCCGAGACUCAGUGAAAUUGAACUCGCUGUGAAGAUGCAGUGUACCCGCGGCAAGACGGAAAGACCCCGUGAACCUUUACUAUAGCUUGACACUGAACAUUGAGCCUUGAUGUGUAGGAUAGGUGGGAGGCUUUGAAGUGUGGACGCCAGUCUGCAUGGAGCCGACCUUGAAAUACCACCCUUUAAUGUUUGAUGUUCUAACGUUGACCCGUAAUCCGGGUUGCGGACAGUGUCUGGUGGGUAGUUUGACUGGGGCGGUCUCCUCCUAAAGAGUAACGGAGGAGCACGAAGGUUGGCUAAUCCUGGUCGGACAUCAGGAGGUUAGUGCAAUGGCAUAAGCCAGCUUGACUGCGAGCGUGACGGCGCGAGCAGGUGCGAAAGCAGGUCAUAGUGAUCCGGUGGUUCUGAAUGGAAGGGCCAUCGCUCAACGGAUAAAAGGUACUCCGGGGAUAACAGGCUGAUACCGCCCAAGAGUUCAUAUCGACGGCGGUGUUUGGCACCUCGAUGUCGGCUCAUCACAUCCUGGGGCUGAAGUAGGUCCCAAGGGUAUGGCUGUUCGCCAUUUAAAGUGGUACGCGAGCUGGGUUUAGAACGUCGUGAGACAGUUCGGUCCCUAUCUGCCGUGGGCGCUGGAGAACUGAGGGGGGCUGCUCCUAGUACGAGAGGACCGGAGUGGACGCAUCACUGGUGUUCGGGUUGUCAUGCCAAUGGCACUGCCCGGUAGCUAAAUGCGGAAGAGAUAAGUGCUGAAAGCAUCUAAGCACGAAACUUGCCCCGAGAUGAGUUCUCCCUGACCCUUUAAGGGUCCUGAAGGAACGUUGAAGACGACGACGUUGAUAGGCCGGGUGUGUAAGCGCAGCGAUGCGUUGAGCUAACCGGUACUAAUGAACCGUGAGGCUUAACCUU
This 2902-nucleotide ribosomal RNA is filed under the name Escherichia coli. RNAcentral describes it as "bacterial LSU rRNA". It matches the Rfam family "Bacterial large subunit ribosomal RNA". Lineage: Bacteria; Pseudomonadati; Pseudomonadota; Gammaproteobacteria; Enterobacterales; Enterobacteriaceae. The record is from RNAcentral.